This 27-nucleotide non-coding RNA is filed under the name Bombyx mori (domestic silkworm). Lineage: Eukaryota; Metazoa; Arthropoda; Insecta; Lepidoptera; Bombycidae. The record is from RNAcentral.
UAACGGUGAUGCCCAUGGACUCUCUGA